ACGGGGUGCAGCAGGCGCGAAACCUCCGCAAUGCACGCAAGUGCGACGGGGGGACCCCAAGUGCCACUCUUAACGGGGUGGCUUUUCAGGAGUGUAAAAAGCUCCUGGAAUAAGGGCUGGGCAAGACCGGUGCCAGCCGCCGCGGUAACACCGGCAGCUCGAGUGGUAGCCGCGUCUAUUGGGCCUAAAGCGUCCGUAGCCGGUCCGAUAAGUCUCUGGUGAAAGCCCACAGCUCAACUGUGGGAAUCGCUGGAGAUACUAUCGGACUUGAGGCCGGGAGAGGCUGGAGGUACUCCCAGGGUAGGGGUGAAAUCCUAUAAUCCUGGGAGGACCACCUGUGGCGAAGGCGUCCAGCUGGAACGGACCUGACGGUGAGGGACGAAAGCCAGGGGCGCGAACCGGAUUAGAUACCCGGGUAGUCCUGGCCGUAAACGAUGCGGACUUGGUGUUGGGACGGCUUUGAGCUGUCCCAGUGCCGAAGGGAAGCUGUUAAGUCCGCCGCCUGGGAAGUACGGCCGCAAGGCUGAAACUUAAAGGAAUUGGCGGGGGAG
RNAcentral lists this ribosomal RNA (551 nucleotides) under uncultured Methanobacteriaceae archaeon. RNAcentral describes it as "bacterial SSU rRNA". It matches the Rfam family "Archaeal small subunit ribosomal RNA", at positions 325 to 876 of the family's 1478-position model. Lineage: Archaea; Methanobacteriati; Methanobacteriota; Methanobacteria; Methanobacteriales; Methanobacteriaceae. The record is from RNAcentral.